RNAcentral lists this ribosomal RNA (232 nucleotides) under uncultured bacterium. Its description in RNAcentral is "partial 16S ribosomal RNA". It matches the Rfam family "Bacterial small subunit ribosomal RNA", at positions 99 to 334 of the family's 1533-position model. The record is from RNAcentral.
CGGACGGGUGAGUAAUGUCUGGGAAACUGCCCGAUGGAGGGGGAUGACUACUGGAAACGGUAGCUAAUACCGCAUAACGUCGCAAGACCAAAGAGGGGGACCUUCGGGCCUCUUGCCAUCGGAUGUGCCCAGAUGGGAUUAGCUAGUAGGUGGGGUAAAGGCUCACCUAGGCGACGAUCCCUAGCUGGUCUGAGAGGAUGACCAGCCACACUGGAACUGAGACACGGUCCAG